AAGCCUUAUAACUCUAUGUGAAAACCCUCACAGAAAGGGAGAAUUCCUUAUAGCUUUCUCUAUGUGAAAACCCUCCUGGGCUCAAGUGAUCCUCCUGUCUCGGCCUUCCAAAGUGCUGGAAUUAUAGGCAUGAGUCACUCUGCCUGGCCAUUGCAGAGGUCUUUACGCUUUCUUACAAUUUCUGUCUUCACACACCUUGAGCUUCAUUUUCAUUUUGCCACUGUAGAAAUAUAUAUUCCAUUUAUUUCAUUCCUAUGCUCUUGACAGGGAAGAUAGAAACAAUCUAGAUGCAGAAUUCCACCUGCUGUAUUAUUUAGCAACAUUAUACCAACAAGGAGAAGCAACAGACAAGCUCUUCCUUUUGUGAUCUUUCUCUGAAAUUCCUCACCUUUACUGAAUAAACCUCAAUUGAUUUGCGAGUUUUGGCUGUAACGGCACUAUUACUGUAAGGUCUAUGCCAUACUAUUAUAUUGAUAUUAGAUUAGUUUCUCCUGUUACAUUAAUGCCUUUUCAUCUCCUGUUUUUUUUUCUUGCAUCUCAUUCUUUUCUUCUUUCUAACAUACAUCUUUUAACAGUUGUUUCCAUAGGGAUCCUGGGUAGUAAACUCUCAUUUGUAUUAAUCUGAAAGUAAAAGUCUUUCUUCUAUCUUUACUGAAGAAUGAUGAGAGUUCAGCUUGGUACAGAAUUCUGAGUUGCCAAUGUUUUUCACUAAACUUUGAAGAUUUUACGCUACCAUAUUCUCACUACUGUUGUGGCAACUGAAAAGUCUGAUGUUGGCCUAAUUGUUAAUCCUUUACACGUAAUGUAUUUUUUCUCCCCAGCAGGUUGUUUUCUUUUUUAGAGACAGGGUCUCGCUCUAUUGCCCAAGCUGGAGUGCAGUGGCACAAUCAUAGCUCACUACUGCCCUGAAGCCCUUAGCUAAGGUCAAGGGAUACUCUCGCCUUCGACUUCUGAGUAGCCAGGACUACAUGUACACACCACACCUGACGUGAAAAGUGAAGUGUAAGGAAGUUGAAUACGUUCCCAGGAUCACGCGACUCAUAGUGAGACCUCUUCAGAACAUGAUGGAUCAAAUGCAGGAUGAGUGCAGAUAUAACAAAAAAGGUUUUAGAAACCUCCUAGUACUAUUUAAAAUUCAAAAUCUGCUGCUGUUGUGCUAAUUUUUCACUGUUAUCUUUUUCAUUCUCAAAAGUUUGCAUAAAAUUCUUAUCUUAAAAAGCCACUUUUAAUGUUAUACAUAACAUGGUUUUGUAAAAUCCUAUAAUUUGAUGUUAUGUGUAUUGAUUAAUUUCUCUCUUAACAUUGAAAGUAUUUUCUUUCUAACACCUUCUUUACAUUCCUGUUUUCUAAGAAUUUUAAAAAUAGUUUUUUACCCUAAAUGGAAGCCAUGUAAACAGAAAUUACAUCUCCUUUUAAAUUAUGUCUACCACCUAACAAGGAACUAAAAAAGAUACUAAUUAUUGGAAGUAUACAUUUGACAAGUCAGUAAUUUCGGUGUCACUGAUGAAACAAAAAGUUAUCUUUUCAUUUUCAAAAACUUGAAUGUAUCUAAAGUAUUGUAAUUGUAAUAAUCUUAGGUAUAAGGGAUAAAGCUUUUGAGAACAAUUUCCCAUGAAGAAAUAAAUUUCACAUUAAUUAAAAUUAGACCUUUGAGGAACACCAAAAAUAAAUUUCCAAUUUAGCCUUCUGUUUCAAAAAAGAUUAAGUAUUUUUCUCAUAUGCAUAAAAUCUCUUUUUAGAGAUAUAGUUAUUCAUUCAUUCAACAAAUAUUUCUGUAUGCUUAUUGUAUACAAAGUACCUGAGGAUACUAAAAACAUCAGUGGAAGAUAAUUUUAAACGGUGGCUAUAUUCAUCCUGCAAAAUAGUAUGUACCCAAGAGUUAGCACACACUGUAACAACGUGGAGUCUUUUAUGAUAUCCCUUCACCAAUAAAAACAACCCAUUAACACUAUUCCAUUCCCUAACACACUGAUUGUAACAAAAACACAUUUGUUGUAUGAAUGAAUAUUUUGGGGGAUGUUCAAAGUGUUACCAUUUUCUCAGCUAAAGAACUAUGACUAAGAUUAUUCAAAUUUCCAGCUACCUCCAAUCACGUGGUCAAAAAUAAAUAUAAAAAUCUGUUUCGUCAUCAUCUGCAUUAUUAAGUAAGCUUCAAAUAAUGCUAUAUUGACCUUAAAGACUAAGAAAGAAAAGAAAAUAUUUUAAAUGAAAAGCAGGGUUUAGGCCGGGUGCAGUGGCUCACGCCUGUAAUCAUUGCACUUUGGAAGGCCGAGGCGGGUGGAUCACAAGGUCAGGAGAUCAAGACCAUCCUGGCCAACAUAGUGAAACCCAUCUCUACUAAAAAUACAAAAAUCAGCUGGGCAUGGUGGCGCAUGCCUGUAAUCCCAGCUACUCAGGAGGCUGAGGCAGGAGAAUCGCUUGAACCAGGGAGUCAGAGGUUGCAGUGAGCCGAGAUCUCGCCACUGCACUCCAGCCUGGCGACAGAGAAAGACUCUGUCUCAAAAAAAUAAAGAAAAAGAAAAAAAGAAAAGAAAAGCAGAGUUUAGAAGCACAAAUUUUCCUUAAAGACUGAGAAGGGAAGACAUUAUAAAGGGGAAGCAAAUAUAAUACAAAGCUUAGGAGCACAAGGCUUUGCAGACAUUCACCUAUCAGAACUAAGCUAGCUAUGUGUCCCUGAAUAAUUACUUUCCUAAUCAGUUUCCUAAUUAGUAAUAAGGAGAAAUUAUACGAAUGCCACUGUACUGUUUAUGGAUUCAGUAAAAUAAAGCGUGAAAUGUGCUUAGCCUGUUGUCUGACUCAAUGCAGAAAUUACUAAUAGUAGCUAUUUUAAAAAGGAAGUUAUUGAUCAACCUUCCCUCUAGCCAAUAUAUGGUUUCCAUAAACCAAAUUAGACCCUUUCCACCAAAAUAUUUCCCUUUUUAAUAUAUACUAUAAAGUGGACCAUAAAUAGCAAAUCUACAAAAGUAGCCCA
Molecule: long non-coding RNA, 2971 nt
Filed under: Homo sapiens (human)
Lineage: Eukaryota; Metazoa; Chordata; Mammalia; Primates; Hominidae
Description: HSALNT0184104
Source: RNAcentral